This 77-nucleotide transfer RNA is filed under the name Kosmotoga sp. RNAcentral's name for it is "tRNA-Trp". It matches the Rfam family "tRNA". From Rfam's summary of the family: Transfer RNA (tRNA) molecules are approximately 80 nucleotides in length. Their secondary structure includes four short double-helical elements and three loops (D, anti-codon, and T loops). The record is from RNAcentral. RNAcentral also lists the same sequence under 2 other names. Lineage: Bacteria; Thermotogati; Thermotogota; Thermotogae; Kosmotogales; Kosmotogaceae.
ACGCCUGUAGCUCAACUAGGCAGAGCGGCGGUCUCCAAAACCGCAGGUUGGGGGUUCGAUUCCCUCCGGGCGUGCCA